GACGAACGCUGGCGGCGUGCUUAACACAUGCAAGUCGAACGGAAAGGCCCUGCUUUUGUGGGGUGCUCGAGUGGCGAACGGGUGAGUAACACGUGAGCAACCUGCCCUUGACUUUGGGAUAACUUCAGGAAACUGGGGCUAAUACCGGAUAGGAGCUCCUGCUGCAUGGUGGGGGUUGGAAAGUUUCGGCGGUUGGGGAUGGACUCGCGGCUUAUCAGCUUGUUGGUGGGGUAGUGGCUUACCAAGGCUUUGACGGGUAGCCGGCCUGAGAGGGUGACCGGCCACAUUGGGACUGAGAUACGGCCCAGACUCCUACGGGAGGCAGCAGUGGGGAAUAUUGCACAAUGGGCGGAAGCCUUAUGCAGCAACGCCGCGUGCGGGAUGACGGCCUUCGGGUUGUAAACCGCUUUCGCCUGUGACGAAGCGUGAGUGACGGUAAUGGGUAAAGAAGCACCAGCUAACUACGUG
This 468-nucleotide ribosomal RNA is filed under the name uncultured bacterium. RNAcentral describes it as "partial 16S ribosomal RNA". It matches the Rfam family "Bacterial small subunit ribosomal RNA", at positions 28 to 507 of the family's 1533-position model. The record is from RNAcentral.